RNAcentral lists this ribosomal RNA (257 nucleotides) under uncultured Actinomycetales bacterium. RNAcentral's name for it is "partial 16S ribosomal RNA". It matches the Rfam family "Bacterial small subunit ribosomal RNA", at positions 75 to 334 of the family's 1533-position model. Lineage: Bacteria; Bacillati; Actinomycetota; Actinomycetes; Actinomycetales. The record is from RNAcentral.
CCCCUUUGGGGGUACUCGAGUGGCGAACGGGUGAGUAACACGUGAGUAACCUGCCCUUGACUUUGGGAUAACUUCAGGAAACUGGGGCUAAUACCGGAUAGGAAUCCUUGCUGCAUGGUGGGGGUUGGAAAGCUUCGGCGGUUUUGGAUGGACUCGCGGCUUAUCAGCUUGUUGGUGGGGUAGUGGCUUACCAAGGCUUUGACGGGUAGCCGGCCUGAGAGGGCGACCGGCCACAUUGGGACUGAGAUACGGCCCAG